AGCUGCCUUGACUGAGUAAGUCAGAGAAGGCUUCCUGGAGGAGAGCGAAGGGUGUGGGGCUGGGUUGAGAUACAGGAAGAUCUGGGUUUGAAUUAUAGUUUGGCUGCUUCCUAGCUGUUUGAUCUUGGACAAAACUUUCAUUCAUUCUAUAUUUUUUGGAGUGUCUACUCCAUGCCAAUCAUGUGUGAAAUGUUGGGAUAACAAAGGCGAAUUCAAUCUGGCUCUCGUCCUCGGAGCUUAAGCAAAUCAUCUGGGGUAGCGUGACCCAUGCUACGAUGGAGGUGGAAUACGGGGCUGCAGGGCGGGGCCACAGGACAUAGUGGGCAGCUUAACCUCCUUGAGCCUCCCUAUCCCUAAUUCACGUGAUGGGGUUUGUAACCACUUCUCACAUCGUUGAGAGAAAAGGGUGAGCCUGACUCAGAGGUGUGGCAAAGGAAGGGCAGGGCAGGCUUUAAGGACAGGGACAGGGCUGUCAGAGGCUGAGGCUAGGGAGGGGCAGGAAGGGGUGUGAGGCAGGGCGGAAGAGAGCAGGGCCCUGGGCAGGUGCUGAGCCAGGUCCUGCAGGUCACCCAGUCGCUUGAGUCCACGAAUGCUGGAGGCAGGCACUGGAGAGCCAGGGUGGUUCAGCCGCAGCUCCUCUGAGCAGGGAGUCAAACAGGGCUGAAACAGACACCAGCUCUCCAGGACCAGCUGGUAAGAGCUUCUCCACUGCCCCCGAGCCCUGACAGGAGGACUCCCACAGUGUGCAUGGAAGCCCAGGGAGCUCGGGGGCUACAGAGGCACCAUUGGCUCUGGAGCCUGCAGCCCAGACAGCCCCCUCCAGAUGUAAUGGGGGAAGGAGCCAGGGACUGGGAGGAAUUCAGAGGUCAGAGGAGGAGCAGUAUCAGGAGAUACUGCCCUCCUGCAACUCCUCCUCCCAGCUGCUCUCCCCUCCUGCUAGUGCCCACAAUGGCUCCCAGCUGCCUCCUAUAAGGAAGCUUUAUUAGCCUGCAGCCUGUACUCCUCCACGCAGCAGAGCUGACAGGACCCCAUUAGUCAGCUUAUUCAACCCUUCCCCUGGUGCACAAACCCUUGCCAAGCUUUUCUGGCAUUUUGCUCAGCCUGCUUGGACCCUCCAAGCAGGUAGGAACUCACUGUUUCACAAAGCAGUGUUAUUAGAAAGGUUUCCCUGACCCUAGCCCCCCACAUCUAAUCUUUCUCAAAUGUGGGCAGACUUGUUCCUGGCCCCUUCUCAUUCCACCAGUGCACACAUGCACAUGCUCCCUCUCUCCAUCCAAGCUCCAGGAAUCAACCUCUACCCUGAACCAGGUCCCUGAGGACCACCACGUGGCUGCAACACAGCAGGUGUGGGGCAGGGCACAAGUGGGCUUAAGGGGGGUAUAAGGGCUGGCAGUUUGCUCAUUGAUUCACUCAACAAACAUGUACUGAGCACCUCUAAAGGGCCAGGGCCUGUGCUAGGCACUGCGGUGCCAUGGUGAGCAAAUCCAGAAAUGGACCCUGCCCUCUAGGAGUUCACAGUCCAGAGGAGAAGCCCGAUGCUGAACAGAGAAUCACAUCCGUGAGCAACACAAAAGGCAAGGCAAACCCUGGGCAGAUGCCCCCGGGACUGUGUGUUAUGGGCCUACAGGAAGCCUCUCCCAAUGAAAAAGCAAUUUUUCAGCCAGAACCUCCACCAGUGUCUUUCAAACUGUGAGUGGCAACCCAUUUGUGGGUCAUAAAAUCAAUUUAGUAGUUGUGACCUGAAUUACUUGUUAGUGAAAUAGAGAGGAAUUUACAACAUCACACUUAGGAAAUACUGUUUUGUGAAAUGUUAGUUUCAGUUAUCUAUCUAUCUAUCUGUCUGUCUGAGAGAUCAUGUUUAUUAGUUAAGAUAUUAAAUGUAUUUCUUACUGCAGGUCUCAAUCAAAAACCUCUGAAAGCCACUGGCCUAGAGUUAGAGGAAGAGUUAGCCAUGAGAAAUGGUGGUGACACAGGUUCCAAAAGAAGAAACAAUAGGUAUCAGGCUCAGAGAUGAAAGGGCUAGAAGGAGGACACACCAAGUUCAAGGAGCCUGGACCUGUGGCCUUCCCUGCCUCCACCUGGGCCUCAACCGUCACGACCACCUGGCCUUUGAGGUAGGGUUUGGAGAAGGAAGUCAGCCUAUUAUCAGGAGAAGGCUUGAAUUUCUAUAUUCAUAGCUUGUUUCUGUCACUUACUAGCCUUGUGAUCAUGGGCAACUUGUCUAAUCUCUGUCCCUCAGUUUCCUCCUUUGUAAAAUAGGUCUCAUAGAACUCAUCCCCAAAAGUCCUUGUGAAGAUUUAGUUUGUAAGCCAGAUGUCUGCAGACCUCCAGUAAAAGAAUAUGUUUUUGGUAUUAGUAUGUAUGUCCCAAAUAUUGCUUGGAAUAUGCUUAUACAAACAAAAAUCAUUUGUUUUUUAUCUGAAAUUCAAAUUUACCUGGAUGUCCUGUAUUUUAUCUGGAAACCCUACACAGAAAUCAAAUGGCUCACGCUGUGUCUCAGAGCUGCAACGAUCCAACGCCCUCCAUCCUUCAGAGGCUGUCUGAGUCCGGGGACACAACUCCCACCCUCCUCUCCUGCCAGCCGCGGCCCGUGGCUGCUCUCUUCACUUCGUCCCGCUUCGCCCCGACUGUGGAUCUACCCGCUCCCUUCUCCCUCAGUCCCCAAAGCACCAGACUCACAGGCCUGCUGUGUGACCCACUUUUACCGACCUUUCGGGGAGAGUAGAGGGCAUUUGUGACUCAGCUCAGAGCAGGAAACACAUCUCACGUCAACUGUCAGACAGCGCUGCUCCGAAUCCCAUCACAGUGCUCCAGCAGGGGGCGUCCUCACCGGCCGCGGCCACAGCCACGGCUCAACCCGGCCUAGCUCCCAGACACCCUCCUUCCACCGCCUGUUUUCCACCGUCCCCGCCUGCUCUUUCAAGCCAGCAGCAAACAACACCCUAAUCCGUGUCUUUAUUAUUCAAAGACCUUAAGCACUCUUUCCCACCUCGUUCCCAUCUUGAUUAUUUCAGGGAAUGAAUUAGGGAUUCACCUUUACAAUCAAAAAAGUUCUCUCAAAGCCAGGCUACUGGAGUUCUAAUUCUGCCUUCCCACUUUUACUAGCUGUGAAAUCUCAGGAAAGUUACUUAACCUCUCUCUGUCUCAUUUUCCUCAUCUUUAAAAAACAGGAUGAUAAUAUUUAGCUCCUAAGAUGGUUGUGAGGAUUUAAGUGAGCUGAUAUAUCCAAGAAUGUCUAGAACAGCGCGUGGCAGAAUGGGCAUUGCAUAUGGGUUUAAUCUUGUAACUGCCAUGUUUCACCAAUUCUAAGGUGUAUCUCGUUUCUCAUCAUAAGAGCUCUUCCGCUCGUGUGGCAGCUGGGAGUGGCCGUCAUUGCCUGCGCAUACCUAAACUUGGUCAGCAGCCAAGUGUUUUGUGAGACCUAAGAAAGGAAGAGCCCCAUAAGUAAAUGGAACUGUUGUGUUGUUUUAUUACCGAGAAAAGGGCAGAAUGAUUGCUAGUCACACGUGAAGCAAGAAAACCCCGGCAAUAAAGCUUGCAGAAUGAGUGGCUGAGGCUUGAAAAUAAAUGGUGGAAACAAUAGUGGACAAUCUUUUAAAGAAUGGCACAUUGCCAAUGCUCCUGAUGGCACAGAAGGUGACACCAUGCAGAAAAUCAAGGCUCUGAGUCAAAGAGGGUUUCAGAAAAAUUGGACUCUGAAUGUGAAGAAAUCUGGGGACUAUUUUAGCCAAUUUGUUUUGCCUAUAAUUUCCUUUUAUGCAUGCAAAAGAGCAAUUCUGAC
This 3781-nucleotide long non-coding RNA is filed under the name Homo sapiens (human). RNAcentral's name for it is "HSALNT0368149". The record is from RNAcentral. Lineage: Eukaryota; Metazoa; Chordata; Mammalia; Primates; Hominidae.